Non-coding RNA from Paramuricea clavata, 1885 nucleotides. The record is from the annotation of a GenBank genome assembly. NCBI's taxonomy places the organism in Eukaryota, Metazoa, Cnidaria, Anthozoa, Malacalcyonacea, Plexauridae.
CUCUUGUUGAAGAUACUGGAAAAAUUUGAAGAUUUCUGAAAUUUUGCCCAAACUAUGGGGAUUUUUUCUCGUUUACCUCUACAACAAAUUAUGGUAGCUAGUGUUCUCGGUGUGUUAAGUGGAUUGUACAUAUUUGCCCCAGGAAUUAUUGAAUUUUCAAGCCAAAUACAGAAGAAAAAUGUGGAUGAAAGUGGACAAGAUCAAAUUCAAGAUGGUGGGCAAGCAGCUCUGGAGAACAAGGCAGAAAAUGUAUAGAUGAUGGUGAAUUAUGAAAAACUAACAUGGAUUAUUGGGAACUGAGAGGUGGGCUAAACGUUAGUUUAGUGGACAUCUAUGUGUCGUUGAAAGUAGUCGGGCAGACUGCAGGGUCUGAAAUUUGCAGUAUACCGAUAUCUCCAGGACACCAAAAAUUUGGUUUUGGAUUCCAAACUGUGAAUGACUUUUAUCCCGACCGGAUACUAAGAAAUUUUCAAACAUUAAGAAAAUGUUAAACACCUUUGACAGGCUUUUGAAAAAUAUCAGUUUGCCAGCAGACCUUAAUAUUGCCUGACUGGAAAGUUUGGAAAAAUUGAUAGUAAUUAUAUAGAAAGCAUCGGAGUUGUGCGCUGGAGAUAUCCGCCACGCAAUACAAACUUUCCACACUGGCCUCAUCGAAGACUAUACCUGUAGAUGCAUGGGCAGUUUGUUCGGUUAAAUACAGCCUGUGAUAAUUUGGAGCAUUUGCUUGUCAAUCCCCAGCAGUAUUACCCAAGUCUGGGUAGUUGAUUCUGGUCACAACUGAUUGAACGUAAUGGAUUCCGAUUGGCUUAUAUAGAGUGUAUAAAAAAAAGGUAAUCGAACUUCAGCGCGCUAUUAUACAUGAAUUACUCGGCGUAUGAACAAUUGGUUUUCAUAUUCGGAAAGAUCAGGCUUUUAGCUAUUGAGUGACAUGUUUUUCAUGCCAAGUGGAUAAAAAAUAAGCAUGUACGAGGCCGAUUAAAAAUGUUAGUCAAAAUUGCAUAUUUUCACCUCUGUGCCUAAUUAAAACAAUGCAUAACAAAAGAAAAAGCAAUUAAUCACGAACGCGUUGUAGCUUAGCUAAGAUUUAUUCAUAUACUUAUGAAUAUGUGCGUCGUUUAUUGAAGUGAAAUUCAUCAACUUAAGUACCCAAAGGGGGUUCAUUUUCAAUGGUUUUAGGGCCUGUUUACGAUUAGGGCCUGUUUACGAUUAGGGCCUGUUUACGAGGCCUGUUUACGAACAAAUGAAAUGCAACAACGAGUUAAAAUAACGGCAAUUGCAGAGUGUGAUAUGACUUGUUUACGUUAGCCAGAUCUUUGUUGACGUUUGAAGACAGCCAAUCAGGAUCUGCUGAACUUAACUAUGACCAAUCAUGUAACUGCCCAGAUCUAGUUAUAGUGCAGCCGGGGGUUGACAAGCAAAUUUUCACAGACUAUAUUCCAGCAUAAUACAGUCAGUACACAGACUAGUUAUUGAUAGCAUACUGGAAUUUGGUAUUGGAUAAAUGUUUUGAAAUCAUCACAUGCUUCCAAGCCCACAGAAAUUCUAUCAUGUAAAUAAACAACAUGAAAAUGUAUAUUUUCUGAACUCUUAUUAUACACUCAGUUCUUAUUUAUUUUCAAGUACAGAAGACAAAGAUUAACCCAUUUAAAGGUGCAGAGCUUCCCCAGUGACGAUUAAAAUCGUCUGGCAUAAGACAAGUAAAAAAAAGUAGGGCACACUGCGGCUUAUUUAAAUGGAUGAAAUAAAAAUUAUUUACAGUUUUUACAGGUGUCAAUUGAAAAUUAAAUGUCAGAUAAUUACUCUUGAUCACACAGGUACAAAUUGAAUGAAUAGAUUAAUGCAACGUUUCUUGUCAUUGUGUACUUGUAAAAUUGACUAAACUGAU